UACGUAGGGUGCGAGCGUUGUCCGGAAUUAUUGGGCGUAAAGAGCUUGUAGGCGGUCUGUUGCGUCUGCUGUGAAAAUCCGGGGCUCAACCCCGGACUUGCAGUGGGUACGGGCAGACUAGAGUGUGGUAGGGGAGACUGGAAUUCCUGGUGUAGCGGUGAAGUGCGCAGAUAUCAGGAGGAACACCGAUGGCGAAGGCAGGUCUCUGGGCCACUACUGACGCUGAGAAGCGAAAGCAUGGGGAGCGAACAGG
Molecule: ribosomal RNA, 253 nt
Filed under: uncultured bacterium
Lineage: Bacteria
Description: partial 16S ribosomal RNA
Rfam family: Bacterial small subunit ribosomal RNA
Source: RNAcentral